UACGGAGGGUGCAAGCGUUAUCCGGAAUCACUGGGUUUAAAGGGUGCGUAGGCGGGGCGGUAAGUCAGAGGUGAAAUCUCAUUGCUUAACAAUGGACUUGCCUUUGAUACUGCUGUUCUUGAAAUAUGUUGAGGUUGGCGGAAUGUGACAUGUAGCGGUGAAAUGCUUAGAUAUGUCAUAGAACACCGAUUGCGAAGGCAGCUGACUGGACAUUAUUUGACGCUGAGGCACGAAAGCGUGGGGAU
Molecule: ribosomal RNA, 245 nt
Filed under: uncultured bacterium
Lineage: Bacteria
Description: partial 16S ribosomal RNA
Rfam family: Bacterial small subunit ribosomal RNA
Source: RNAcentral